Molecule: ribosomal RNA, 499 nt
Filed under: uncultured bacterium
Lineage: Bacteria
Description: partial 16S ribosomal RNA
Rfam family: Bacterial small subunit ribosomal RNA
Source: RNAcentral
GACGAACGCUGGCGGCGUGCUUAACACAUGCAAGUCGAACGGGCCCGCCCCUGUUUUUGGGGGUGGGUUGAGUGGCGAACGGGUGAGUAUCACGUGAGUAACCUGCCCCCUGCUCCUGGAUAACUGCUUGAAAGGGCGGCUAAUACGGGGUGUGCCGGCUGGUCCGCAUGGGCCUGGUCGGGAUAGUUUCAUCUUCGGGUGUUUCGGUGGGGGAUGGGCUCGCGGCCUAUCAGCUUGUUGGUGGGGUGAUGGCCCACCAAGGCGGUGACGGGUAGCCGGCCUGGGAGGGUGGGCGGCCACACUGGGACUGAGACACGGCCCAGACUCCUGCGGGAGGCAGCAGUGGGGGGUAUUGCACAAUGGGCGGAAGCCUGAGGCAGCGACGUCGCGUGAGGGAUGGAGGCCUUCGGGUUGUGAACCUCUUUCUCCGGCGGUGAAGGCCCUGUCCGUUGCGGCGGGGUUGACGGUAGCCGGGUAUGAAGCGCCGGCUAACUACGUG